AGACCUUGUCUUUUCCUUUCCUUUCUCCAGGUUUACUUCGAGCGUUUCCUUUUCCUCCUUUGGGAUAAAUAACGCACGGUGGCGAUUCUUCUGUCAUUUCUUUUUUCGCCGGUUUUUUUUUUUUUGCAAGAUGGUUGCGACACCCACCAUCCUUUUAAUUGUCCGGUAAAUCCUAUAACUAGUAUCUCUUUAGUAUGUUUAUCCGUAUUUCCUUUAUUUAGACGAUAUGGGUCAUUACUUUUUAUAAAGUUUAUGCUUAGU
RNAcentral lists this long non-coding RNA (261 nucleotides) under Lathyrus oleraceus (garden pea). RNAcentral describes it as "Pisum sativum (pea) long non-coding RNA (PSAT_LNC037743)". Lineage: Eukaryota; Viridiplantae; Streptophyta; Magnoliopsida; Fabales; Fabaceae. The record is from RNAcentral.